This 279-nucleotide ribosomal RNA is filed under the name uncultured bacterium. Its description in RNAcentral is "partial 16S ribosomal RNA". It matches the Rfam family "Bacterial small subunit ribosomal RNA", at positions 506 to 784 of the family's 1533-position model. The record is from RNAcentral.
UGCCAGCAGCCGCGGUAAUACGGAGGGUGCAAGCGUUGUUCGGAAUCACUGGGCGUAAAGGGCGUGUAGGCGGAACGAUUAGCGAGGGGUGAAAUCCCGGGGCUCAACCCCGGAACUGCUCUUCGGACUGUCGAUCUAGAGAAGGUCAGGGGCCGGCGGAAUUCCUGGUGUAGAGGUGAAAUUCGUAGAUAUCAGGAGGAACAUCGGAGGCGAAGGCGGCUCACUGGCUCGAUACUGACGCUGAGGUACGAAAGUGUGGGGAGCAAACAGGAUUAGAUA